Molecule: non-coding RNA, 98 nt
Organism: Acanthosepion pharaonis
Lineage: Eukaryota; Metazoa; Mollusca; Cephalopoda; Sepiida; Sepiidae
Source: the annotation of a GenBank genome assembly
UUGAAAGACCAGUUCUUGUAUGAUCAUCAAAGUUAAGCAACGUCAAACCUGGUCAGUACCGAGAUGGGUGACCGCUUGGGAAUACCAGGUGCUGUAAG